This is a long non-coding RNA of Bombus impatiens (common eastern bumble bee), 1646 nucleotides long. RefSeq lists it as uncharacterized. NCBI's taxonomy places the organism in Eukaryota, Metazoa, Arthropoda, Insecta, Hymenoptera, Apidae. The record is from RefSeq and is a predicted model, not a curated record. The transcript has 2 exons.
AUUACAACGUCGUUAAUUGCGUCUCGACAUCUUGGAUAUUCUAUUCUUUCAUGAUUAAGGUCCUUUAAUUCGUCUAUAUUUUCUAUUUUCGGCUAUACCAUAAUGUUCUUGCCUACCGUGAUAUCUUUCUUUUAGACACUUUAAAACUGUUCAAAUAGAACGCGUUCGAUACGCCAACUAUCUAUAAAUAUCUCUUACAAUCGUUAAAAUCGUUAAAAUAAUAAAAACUAUAAAUAUGAAUAUCGAUACAGGGUUAUUCGUUGCCAGAGUCUUCUAUCUUUUUGCGUGCCUAACCCUAACCUAACGCCAACCUAACCCCAAACUAAUAACAGCAUUGUUCUAACAAGUAGAUUUCGUGCAUAGAUUUAUAGCAAUAUUUUUAAUGAGAUUGCUACUCUUUACGGUACCUUCAAGACACAAACAGUUAACGAGGGUAAAAAAUAUUUGCGUAGCUUGCUGGGUAAAUGCGUUUACGCGAUUAUUUUUCUCGAUAGAGAGAGAGUAAGAGAGAGACAGAGUCGCGGUUUGUCACUCAAAAUGUUUCACGUAUUUCUCACGUCCGGAAGGGAACAAUGAACCAACUUCCAACUUUCUAUACCCCGUGUACGUGCCGGUUACAAACAAAAGGAGCAAGAAAAUGAAUUCACCGUUCCCCGCAAGUAAAAAUCCACUGACGUGAUAUCUGGUGAUCUCCUUGGGGUUCUCUGCGAGCAAUUGAUUCCGCUCCACUUAUCCAUCGUUCAAGGUAACAAUGAUCGUCUAACCAUUGCCGAACUGGUUGACCAAAUCAACGAUCUCAACAAGUAAAACAUUAGCAGAACGUCAUCAUUUCGUAUUUUUGUUAUGACAUUUUAAUAAUGCAUUUUACAACCCAUGUUUGUACGACGUCUUUUCCAUAGUUUUGUUUAUACGAUAGAACAUGUUUGUAAAGUUCUGCGCAGAAACAUCGAGACACCCUGUGUCUCUCUAUUUUCCUCUAUAGUAUGGCGAAUAUAUAUCAAUGACAAAGUGAUUGCGGAAGGAUACAUUUUUUCAUGAAAAUAAGAAAAAACUUGCUUUUAGAUGUGAACUUGUAGCAAAAUAUAUAGCAGCAUAUUACGUUGAAUUAAUAUUUGCAACACGUUCACGGAUGUAUUAAUUACCAUCUCUUAUUAAAUAAAUUACGCGGAAAGCGUAACAAAGCGACGGAUAGUGUGUACAUACUUUGAACAUCCAUAUUACAUAAUAAUAUUUCCAGCUAUAAAUAAUUCAUCAUUCAUUCAUUCAUUCAAAUCACUCAAACCGCUGAAAUCGUCGAGAACUAUUAAUUCUCAUUUCGACGCUACUCAUUUCGACGCUAUUUGUUGCACCGUUGACAACUCUAUUCGAACGAUUUUUGAAAAAUUAUUCCCUCGCUGUACCUGACAUCUAAGGUACGCUUGAUUCGUACGUGUUGACAAUGAGUUAAAUUAAACAGUUGAACUAAAUGAAAAUGAGAAUUUUGAUACCGUGUAAGAAUAAAAACUGAGGAUAAUUAGUUAGUUUAAAGAGAAGAUUUGACCAGAAAUUUAACGAAAAAGGGAAAAGAACGUUCUCUUACUCGAAACCGAAAUGUUGAUUAGGCAAAGCCAUAGACUUGGAAAUGAAACAACGAGAAAGGACAUAAA